CAAAUUUAUUUUAUAUUUAUUUCUAUGUAUAAAUGUAUAAAUUGACAUAUUUUCAAAGAUAAACUAUAUAUAUUUACUCAAACGUACCAAGCCUUUAAAUGAAAUACAUUCGAGCAUUUGUCGACAUUUUAGUAUUCAUCCGCAUAUCGCUCACAGUCACCACCAUUGAUUUUACUGAACAAAUCACCUGGCGGAACUAUUGUGAAAAUAAAGCAUGGAAUACCUUUAAGAUGGGGCACAAACGCAGCCAAAGGAACAAGGAUUCUUAUCAAGAAUUUGAAGAAAUGCAAUGAUAGGCCAGGGAGGACGUUUUUCCUGGAAAUUCUGGAUCUGUCAAGACAAUCAGCUUCUAAUUAAGAAGAACUCCCCGGAGAGCGCCGAGCUCAGCAAGGAAGCCCUGCUUUCCAGGACAUCGCGUUGAGCUGCCUGCUUUUUUUCCAGCUAAGAAAGGCAUUCCUGGCAGCAGAAAGCUCCUCAAAUCACGGCUCAGCCGGACAGGAGAAGGUGAGAACAGCUGUGGGAUCCAGUGACACAUUCUGCUGCUCCACCACUCUCCUCCAUGGAAGCUAUGCAUGAGCGCACAAGACAAGCUUCCUCGUAAAGACAAGCCACCGGACCAGGUGGUGAUAUUCACUCCCAUGAUGGAAUGAAAUGAAAGAAGAAAUAAAUAAAAAAAAAAA
Molecule: long non-coding RNA, 680 nt
Organism: Oryzias melastigma (Indian medaka)
Lineage: Eukaryota; Metazoa; Chordata; Actinopteri; Beloniformes; Adrianichthyidae
Exons: 4
Source: RefSeq, a predicted model, not a curated record